Molecule: unclassified non-coding RNA, 239 nt
Filed under: Hevea brasiliensis (rubber tree)
Lineage: Eukaryota; Viridiplantae; Streptophyta; Magnoliopsida; Malpighiales; Euphorbiaceae
Source: RNAcentral
CGAUGCAGUGAAAGACGCUGCGGACUAUGUGGCCGGUAACGUAAAAGAUAUGCCGGCAGCUAGCCAACUCCGCUUUCUAACGAGGUUAAGGCGUGACCUAGAAAACGGAAACAGCGAGACCUGGGGUGGGGUCUCAUCGAACGGGAAGUUCGAAGAUGGAGACCCGGUUCGGCACGAAAUAAGAAAGGUUUGGGGGCCCGUUGGUCAAAGGAAAGGAAAGGGAAGGUCCUGCUUCCGGG